CUCUUCCCCAAAUUCAAUUCCCCUAAACCCCCCGUCUCCACACUACUCUCCCCUCCUCCGUCUGAAAUCAGCGCCGCCCCUCCCUCUCCCACCGUGAAUCCCUCCCUUCGUUUGUCUAUUGCAGCUCCACACCAUCCUCUCCCCUCUCCCGCGGCGAUUACUCUGGCCCCAAAUCGGCACCGUUGCCCUUCCUUCCUGUCUCCGCGUAGCAAUUUCUCCCUCUCUUCCACCGCGAUUCGCGUCACCGCCGCUGCCGCAAUCACCAGAGGUCUGCUCCGAUCUGCCUCCCACUCCACCAAUUUCUUCGUUCUGCCUCCCGCAGCGAUUCGCUUCGCAGCACUCAGGCCCCAAGUCGGCGCCGCCUCAACCACCAUUCUCUGACCCGACCAUGGGAUGGGUCAUAUCCAACGCCAAUGGCUACCCGGCCGCAUCUAUGCGCCGUCGACCACCGUAUUGACCCCUUGCUCUAACAUGCCCUCUCUUCAAAUCCCUUUCAGCGCCAGUUUAUCGCCGCCUCCUCUAUGGUAAUUGAGUUGAGGCCAAUGUCAGUGCUCUCACUAAUUUUGAAGUGCUUGACCUUUUGAGAUCAAGAGGUGCUGGAAGGGAUGCGUCUUGAGCUAUUGCAACCGUAUCUCAAUCUGAGUUCAAGGUUUUUGAUUAUCUAGAGGGGACUAUUGCUUGCAAUCAAACAAGUAAAAUUAUUGGUAACUUCGUUGAAGAGUGCCAAAAAUUUGACCUGGCCAAGGCAAAGAUUCUUAAUAUAAGACCAAGAAGUGGGCCUAAGCUUUUCCCGGAAUUCUAGCUGGAGACAAAGAGAUUGCUCCAAAUUUCGCAGCAGGGGGCCUAGCAGUUGGAGGAUGCUCUAUGGUCUGGAUAUGAACUCUGACAAAGGAAUUUUGCUUGCUGCAGAUAAUUUUGGGCUUCUCUAUAUGAUGUCGACGCCGAGAAGCAGCAGAGCCCUUACCUCUCAAGCCUCAGCGAGUAUUCGACGGGUAGUGAGUGACGGGUAUCCGACGGGUAGCGGGUGACGGAUGCCCGAUGGGUCGCGGGUAUGAGUGGCAAAUAGUAGUGGAUGGCAAAUAAUUUUUUCAAAUAUAUGUUUCGCUAAGUCAUGUUAAGGAUGAAAGUCAUCUUUAACUUAUUAUUUCAUUUUAGUUCGAUGUGUAACGUAGACUUAUAUCAUAUUAACAGUUUUUUUUAGUGAAUAAUCUCCAUAAUUUAUAAAUAUAUUAAAAUAAUAAUUUUUACA
RNA transcript from Salvia miltiorrhiza (redroot sage), 1249 nucleotides. RefSeq lists it as uncharacterized. Lineage: Eukaryota; Viridiplantae; Streptophyta; Magnoliopsida; Lamiales; Lamiaceae. The transcript has 7 exons. The record is from RefSeq and is a predicted model, not a curated record.